CCACCACAGAAGGUAAUAGUCCUGUAUGUUAAACGAGAAGACUUUAGAUAUGAUCCAGAGUACCACGGGACACGUGAAACCCUGUGGGAAGCAGGAGGGACCACCCUCCAAGGCUAAAUACUACCUAGUGACCGAUAGCGUAUAGUACCGUGAGGGAAAGGUGAAAAGAACCCCGGGAGGGGAGUGAAAUAGAACCUGAAACCCUGCACUUACAAGCUGUGGAAGCACAUUUCUUGUGUGACCGCGUACUUUUUGUAGAACGGGCCAACGAGUUACGUUAAGUAG
RNAcentral lists this ribosomal RNA (285 nucleotides) under Clostridioides difficile. RNAcentral's name for it is "partial 23S ribosomal RNA". It matches the Rfam family "Bacterial large subunit ribosomal RNA", at positions 352 to 640 of the family's 2925-position model. The record is from RNAcentral. Lineage: Bacteria; Bacillati; Bacillota; Clostridia; Peptostreptococcales; Peptostreptococcaceae.